RNAcentral lists this long non-coding RNA (499 nucleotides) under Cricetulus griseus (Chinese hamster). Its description in RNAcentral is "lncRNA (ENSCGRG00015030599.1)". The record is from RNAcentral. Lineage: Eukaryota; Metazoa; Chordata; Mammalia; Rodentia; Cricetidae.
CUAAUAGCCCUUAACUUGAGGUCAGCAUUCUCUUCCAUCAGUCACUAUGACUCAGGUCCACCAGGCCAGAGCAUGAAAUCUGGAAUGUGUGUAUGGCACGUCAGCUUCCCCAAAUAACACAGCACACUUCAUCAUCUGAGUGCAAACUAGCUCCAGAAACUCUACCCUGCAAAAGUCACAGGGUGGUGACUACAGACCUGCUAGUCCUCUAGAAGAGUUAUAGAGGCAAGGUGAAUUAAUGCAAGAUGUUGGAGAUUCUCUGGUAGACCAGAUCGUCUACUCUAGGACCUGUUGGGGAGCUGGAAAGAAGAAAUCAAAAGAAGGAAUUCUGGUGAUUGUGUCUUACAGAUCCUGAUGGCAAUAACUGUUCAUGACAUUGAACCAGCCAUGGAAGCCUUCUGUGAGUCUGUUUCCCCAGGCUGCAAAUGAGACUGAUGACACCUGCUUCACGUUUAAUAGUGUUUGAUAUGUAUUAGGUAGUCAAUAAAUAAUAGUAAAC